Ictidomys tridecemlineatus (thirteen-lined ground squirrel) is the source of this 1432-nucleotide long non-coding RNA. The record is from Ensembl. Lineage: Eukaryota; Metazoa; Chordata; Mammalia; Rodentia; Sciuridae.
CAGCUGAAAACCUGGCACAGCCUGUUCUUAAACAGACCAGCACGGGGCGGGGGCCGUGCAGCUCCAGGCUCCUUUAUCUGGAACAGCUGCCAGGGGAGAGGAGUGGGGAGUGGAAGAGGGGGAAAUAAAAGGAUGGAUGGGCAAGAGCGGAAAGUCGUCCCUUUCUUGGAGCCUUCCCACCAGUCGCUGGAAUCUUUCUGGAGGCGAGAUGAAAAUUCCUCUGCCUAAUGAGCAUGAAACUGGAAAAUACUGAACCACUGGCCUGAUUUAAACAAAUGAGGAAGGAGGAACUAGAAGAACCUGUGAGAACAGGUUCAAGUUGGUGGACUCAGCCUGGGAGACCUUCCAGACAGUUUAGUUGGGCCAAACUCAGAGUCAGCGGUUGAAAAUACAAAGUGUCUGUGAAGAAAGAGGAGACUCGCGAGAGGGAUGCAACCCAACCUCAGGCUGUGUGUUGUAACCAUGAAAGGCCUGUCUGGAAAUGUUCACGUCGCCUCUUUGAUUUAUCCAAGUGCACAUAGAUCCCUAAGGUAUCCCCAUAGCCCCCUGAGACUGUGCAGGGAUGACAAGGUGGCUGAGAAGGCCCUUUUUCAGAGGUGCAAGAUAACCUGUAAGUCUAGAGAAGAUUCAAAGACAGAAGGACUGAAAUGGACAGGUAUGCAUACAUGGGGGUGGAAAGCUGGGAAAUUGGGGAGUGAGUGGAAAGACAAAGAGCUCAAACAAGAUUUAUUUAUUUUUUAUGAAAGAGAGAGAAAGAGAAUUUUUAACAUUUAUUUUUUUGUUUUCGGCGGACACAACAUCUUUGUGUGUCUUUGUGGUGCUGAGGAUCGAACCUGGGCUGCAUGCAUGCCAGGCAAGCACGCUACCACUUGAGCCACAUCCCCAGCCCCAAAAACAGGUUUUAAACAUCAGACCGAGGAUCCCUUCUCUCAUGUACUGCCUGUCUGCCCUUCCUCCAUUGAAUACUGAACUCUGAUUCCUCCAUGUUUCCACAAUUCCAGUACUAACAACCCAAUCAUGUAGAAGUCCAACCAAGAAUCUCAUUGUUAGUAGAGUGUUCUCCUCUGAGUCUAAAGGCUCAAUCUGUAAUAAAAGCUAUUCACUCGCUGAAAUGUCUCCUUCCUCACUUCUUGUGCAUACAAUGACAUGCUGUCACACAGUAGCAUGCACAUUUUAGUGAGAGUCUCACCAGACAGCAGUUGGGAGAACAGGGUAAGCUACAGGGACCACGGAGGGAACUACAAUCCCCACAUUCCUGAGCCAUUUAUAAGGAGCCUCCUGUGUCAUCCUCUAGGAUCUUUUGCUAAGAUUCCCUGACAAAGAUUAUUCCUGAAAUACUUUUUCUGGAAUUUGGAGAACACCAACAGUCUCUCUGAAGAACCGUCAGAAUAUAAGAAAACACACACAGAGAGAGCAAUUAUCUCUUGGCAAA